GGGAGCGUAGCUCAAUGGUAGAGCAGCCGGCUUAUAAGCGCAAGGUUGCAGGUUCGAAUCCUGCCGCUCCUACCA
Molecule: transfer RNA, 75 nt
Filed under: Methanobacteriota archaeon
Lineage: Archaea; Methanobacteriati; Methanobacteriota
Description: Euryarchaeota archaeon tRNA-Ile
Rfam family: tRNA
About the family: Transfer RNA (tRNA) molecules are approximately 80 nucleotides in length. Their secondary structure includes four short double-helical elements and three loops (D, anti-codon, and T loops).
Source: RNAcentral